CAGCCUUCUUGAAGACAAGCUUGUGAUUUCCCCUGAAAAUGAUAAAAAUUCAUGAUUUGAUGAAUUUCGCCCAGCAUUAUCAGAGGUUCAGGAAAAGUACCUUACACCU
This is a non-coding RNA of Caenorhabditis elegans, 109 nucleotides long. NCBI's taxonomy places the organism in Eukaryota, Metazoa, Nematoda, Chromadorea, Rhabditida, Rhabditidae. The record is from Ensembl.